GAGAAAAUAAAUAAGAUUAAAUAGUCAAUUUUUAUCAUAGCAAAAAGACUUCAAGAAUAUCCAGAGGUAUAAUUGUUAUUGCUAACAAAAAUUCUUGAAGGGAUAUUAAACGUCAUGCUGUAGGGCUGUGAGGGACUACACCCUAUGUUCACACCCUCACACUAUUUGUAAUAAUCUUUAUACAAGGUAUGCCUUGUGAGAUAAUUUGAAAACUCAUAACUUGCUAAUCAUUAAUAUCAUGGUAAAAUGUGUAUAGCAGCUUUAUGCAUAAAAUAAAAAAAUUCCUCUAUAUGGUGAUAAAAAUACGUACUCACCUAGCACCAAACUAGUCAAACAGACCUGUCUUGAACAAAGGAGUGUAUGCUUGUCUUAAUUUGCAUUUAAGCAGUAAACAGUCAUCAGUCAGGAAGGGGGAAGGGAGAAAAACAGAGAGGUCACACAGGUGAAAAAGCCCAGCAGGGAACAUCCUUCUUCCAGCAGUCUGCCUGUCACCCUGUUCUCAGCUGAAAAUGUUUUUCGAAAUGGGAGUAAAAACUGUUUUAAACCAAAAAAAAAAAAAAAAAGUUGAACACCCCAAGACACUUUCUCUCUCUCUUUUUGUCUAUCUCAUUAUUCGCACCCCAGAAGAGAAAGGAAACAGCUGUUGGACUCUGGGGAAGGGAUCCUGACCUGAAGCAUUUGUUCACUAAUUCUGCUAGAAGCAUGUGCUGGUACCCCUGAAGAUCAACAAAGGAUGCCAAACCUUCCAAGGGAUUAAUAAUAAUAUGGGGAGACCUGUCUGGGAAUCAGAAAGCAUCAUGAGGUGGCUGUCAGCAGGGGAAGUUUUGGAUGUAUGACUUGCUUGUUUGAAGAUGUUCCAGUCUCAGAAUAGCUGAGCCCAGAUUUCACCGGCCAUGUGUAAAAGAG
Chelonia mydas (Green sea turtle) is the source of this 906-nucleotide long non-coding RNA. RefSeq lists it as uncharacterized. The record is from RefSeq and is a predicted model, not a curated record. Lineage: Eukaryota; Metazoa; Chordata; Testudines; Cheloniidae. The transcript has 3 exons.